Molecule: ribosomal RNA, 429 nt
Filed under: Chloroflexota bacterium
Lineage: Bacteria; Bacillati; Chloroflexota
Description: Chloroflexi bacterium partial 16S ribosomal RNA
Rfam family: Bacterial small subunit ribosomal RNA
Source: RNAcentral
UGGGGAAUAUUGCACAAUGGGCGCAAGCCUGAUGCAGCCAUGCCGCGUGUAUGAAGAAGGCCUUCGGGUUGUAAAGUACUUCCAGUCGGGAGGAAGGUGUCAAGGUUAAUAACCUUGGCAAUUGACGUUACCGACAGAAGAAGCACCGGCUAACUCCGUGCCAGCAGCCGCGGUAAUACGGAGGGUGCAAGCGUUAAUCGGAAUUACUGGGCGUAAAGCGCACGCAGGCGGUUGAUUGAGUCAGAUGUGAAAUCCCCGGGCUUAACCCGGGAAUUGCAUCUGAUACUGGUCAGCUAGAGUCUUGUAGAGGGGGGUAGAAUUCCAUGUGUAGCGGUGAAAUGCGUAGAGAUGUGGAGGAAUACCGGUGGCGAAGGCGGCCCCCUGGACAAAGACUGACGCUCAGGUGCGAAAGCGUGGGGAGCAAACAGG